Long non-coding RNA from Trematomus bernacchii (emerald rockcod), 286 nucleotides. RefSeq lists it as uncharacterized. NCBI's taxonomy places the organism in Eukaryota, Metazoa, Chordata, Actinopteri, Perciformes, Nototheniidae. The transcript has 3 exons. The record is from RefSeq and is a predicted model, not a curated record.
AUCAACCUGCUCCAGGAACCACGCUGUCGUCAGCCAACAUAAACACACAAGCAUGUGUUGCCACUCCUGUGUGACCUGGUAAAGUCACAUCACCGUACAGUUUGCCUGUUGCCAUGUCCAACUCCACACUUGGUGUGAUUGCCAUUUCAUCCAAGGUCAACACACACUCCCUUUCAAGUGUUCUUAUUCCUGGCAGGGGAAUCUGCAAUUCCUGCAGAGUUUUGUAACCGGUUGGUCCGGCAGCAAAGCGAAUUUUUAAAGUCUUCUUAAUUGUCUCAUUGCUCCA